This 541-nucleotide ribosomal RNA is filed under the name uncultured bacterium. Its description in RNAcentral is "bacterial SSU rRNA". It matches the Rfam family "Bacterial small subunit ribosomal RNA", at positions 369 to 896 of the family's 1533-position model. The record is from RNAcentral.
CAAUGGGGGAAACCCUGACGGAGCGACGCCGCGUGGGGGAUGAAGGUUUUCGGAUCGUAAACCCCUUUCAGGUGGGAAGAACGGUCGCGCGGUGAACAAUCUCGCGGCCUUGACGGUACCACCAGAAGAAGCUCCGGCCAACUCCGUGCCAGCAGCCGCGGUAAUACGGGGGGAGCAAGCGUUGUUCGGAUUCAUUGGGCGUAAAGGGCGCGUAGGCGGCCCGGCAAGUCUGACGUGAAAUGCACCGGUUCAACCGGGGGCGCUGGGUCAGAAACUGCCAGGCUUGAGGUCGAGGGAGGAAGGUGGAAUUCCUGGUGUAGCGGUGAAAUGCGUAGAUAUCAGGAGGAACACCCGUGGCGAAAGCGACCUUCUAUCUCGAUUCUGACGCUGAGGCGCGAAAGCUAGGGGAGCAAACGGGAUUAGAUACCCCGGUAGUCCUAGCCGUAAACGAUGGGCACUAGGUGUGGGAGGUAUCCGACCCCUUCCGUGCCGCAGCUAACGCAUUAAGUCGCCCCGCCUGGGGAGUACGGCCGCAAGGUUG